AUUGAACGCUGGCGGCAGGCCUAACACCUGCAAGUCGAGCGAGCGGCGGACGGGUGAGUAAUGUAUGGGGCUCUGCCCGAUAGAGGGGGAUAACUACUGGAAACGGUGGCUAAUACCGCAUACUAUCGGAUGUACCCAUAUGGGAUGAGCUAGUAGGGGGGGUAAAGGCUCACCUAGGCGACGAUCCCUAGCUGGUCUGAGAGGAUGAUUAGCCACACUGGAACGGAGACACGGCCCAGACUCCGACGGGAGGAAGCAGUGGGGAAUAUUGCACAAUGGGCGCAAGCCUGAUGCAGCCAUGCCGCGUGUAUGAAGAAGGCCUUAGGGUUGUAAAGUACUUUCAGCGGGGAGGCGUUACCCGCAGAAGAAGCACAGGCUAACUCCGUGCCAGCAGCCGCGGUAAUUC
Molecule: ribosomal RNA, 406 nt
Filed under: uncultured bacterium
Lineage: Bacteria
Description: partial 16S ribosomal RNA
Rfam family: Bacterial small subunit ribosomal RNA
Source: RNAcentral